GUCUGACGUAGCAACGCCGCGUGAGUGAGGAAGGCCUUCGGGUCGUAAAGCUCUGUUGUGAGGGAAGAAGCGGUACCGUUCGAAUAGGGCGGUACCUUGACGGUACCUCACCAGAAAGCCACGGCUAACUACGUGCCAGCAGCCGCGGUAAUACGUAGGUGGCAAGCGUUGUCCGGAAUUAUUGGGCGUAAAGCGCGCGCAGGCGGCUUCUUAAGUCUGAUGUGAAAUCUCGGGGCUCAACCCCGAGCGGCCAUUGGAAACUGGGGAGCUUGAGUGCAGAAGAGGAGAGUGGAAUUCCACGUGUAGCGGUGAAAUGCGUAGAGAUGUGGAGGAACACCAGUGGCGAAGGCGACUCUCUGGUCUGUAACUGACGCUGAGGCGCGAAAGCGUGGGGAGCAAACAGGAUUAGAUACCCUGGUAGUCCACGCCGUAAACGAUGAGUGCUAGGUGUUAGGGGUUUCGAUGCCCGUAGUGCCGAAGUUAACACAUUAAGCACUCCGCCUGGGGAGUACGGCCGCAAGGCUGAAACUCAAAGGAAUUGACGGGGCCCGCACAAGCGGUGGAGCAUGUGGUUU
RNAcentral lists this ribosomal RNA (575 nucleotides) under Shouchella clausii. RNAcentral's name for it is "bacterial SSU rRNA". It matches the Rfam family "Bacterial small subunit ribosomal RNA", at positions 381 to 947 of the family's 1533-position model. Lineage: Bacteria; Bacillati; Bacillota; Bacilli; Caryophanales; Bacillaceae. The record is from RNAcentral.